UUGACCUCAGAUCAGGCCAGAUUACCC
RNAcentral lists this ribosomal RNA (27 nucleotides) under Keratoisis sp. K14359E. RNAcentral's name for it is "partial 28S ribosomal RNA". Lineage: Eukaryota; Metazoa; Cnidaria; Anthozoa; Scleralcyonacea; Keratoisididae. The record is from RNAcentral.